This 78-nucleotide small nuclear RNA is filed under the name Ophiophagus hannah (king cobra). RNAcentral describes it as "7SK RNA". It matches the Rfam family "7SK RNA", at positions 12 to 91 of the family's 331-position model. Rfam says of the family: 7SK was discovered as an abundant small nuclear RNA in the mid-70s but a possible function has only recently been suggested. Two independent studies have found that 7SK RNA binds the CDK9/cyclin T complex (known as elongation factor P-TEFb). The record is from Rfam by way of RNAcentral. Lineage: Eukaryota; Metazoa; Chordata; Lepidosauria; Squamata; Elapidae.
CGAUCUGGCUGCGACAUGUGUCACCCCAUUGAUCGCCAGGGUUGAUUUGGCUGAUCUGGCUCCAUGUACAUCCCUCCU